UCACGCGCCGCAGGCCCCGCCCCGCUCGCCCCUCCGCGCUGCACUGCGGUGCCCGAGGCCCCGCCCCGGGCGAUGACGUCAAUGCUCGGGCCCUGCCCCGGCUCCCUGGGCAGGUGGGGGCACGGAAAGGAAGUUGAGGAGCCAGUGUUCUAACCCCCGUGGUGCCAAUUAUCUCCAUGGCCUCUAGUAAGCAGGGCACGGAGAGUCACUUGAACAAGCUCAGACAAGAAUCAGCAAGGAAUAGCAUCUGCAGCUGUACCUCGGCCUGUCUGCUCUGCUCCAUGCGUCGAUAUCCGCAUAUGGCAAGUCGUAGGGAACUUUGCUGCCUAUGAAGCAAGUGGUGACAGGAACCUGGACUUACUGGUUUUAAGAACUGGAAUAUUCACUUGGAAACCACUGCAAACAACAGAGAUGCUGUUUGAUCUGUACCUUAUAGUACAGCACUGAGAUGCUAGUCUGAGGAGACAGGAUCUUAGAAAGAGUCAACAGCCUUGGGAGACUACAGGAGUAGUUUUGUCAGCUUUAUACAAACCAAAGACACCUGGAAAGAGGAGACCUCGGAUUAUGGGCAUGUCUGAGAGACAUUUGGUUGACUGCAGUUGAUGGAGAGGAGCCUGAUCCACUGUGGGUGGCGCCAUCCAUAAGCCUACAGGCCUGCAUUGCAUAAGAAGGGUAAUCAGACUGGGAACAAACCAGUAAGGGGCAUUCCUCCACAAUCUCUGCUUCAGUUGCUGCCUCCAGGUUCCUGAGUUGAGUCCCUACCGUGGCUUCCCUCCUUGAUGGACUGUAACCUGAGACGCCAAGACAGCAGAGGUUAAGUUCUCCCUUCUGUAUGAGGUGCGUGGACCUGUGACGUAAGAACGCAGACGCGGCGCUCUCUGCUUGCCUGCCUGCUUGGGUGCUGCAAACCUGAUCUUUUGGAGAAACUUGGACUCGCGCUGGAUUGUCUCUGGGCCCCUACUCAGCAGCACUCCUUUUCCUUCAGUUUUGAAUCCCUAAAUGUCAUUCUCUAAUGUCCUUCCAGUGUGGUUUAUGCCACACUGCCAGGGACAGUUUGUCCAUGAGGAAAUCCUUUCUGAAAUCUUAAUGUUGAAAAUAAAACACACUGUAA
Mus musculus (house mouse) is the source of this 1111-nucleotide long non-coding RNA. RefSeq annotates it as predicted gene, 42134. NCBI's taxonomy places the organism in Eukaryota, Metazoa, Chordata, Mammalia, Rodentia, Muridae. The transcript has 6 exons. The record is from RefSeq and is a predicted model, not a curated record.